Molecule: ribosomal RNA, 253 nt
Filed under: uncultured bacterium
Lineage: Bacteria
Description: partial 16S ribosomal RNA
Rfam family: Bacterial small subunit ribosomal RNA
Source: RNAcentral
UACGAAUGGAGCGAGCGUUGUUCGGAAUCACUGGGCGUAAAGGGUGCGCAGGCGGUCAUGAAAGUCAGAAGUGAAAUCCCAGGGCUUAACCCUGGAAUGGCUUUUGAAACUCCAUGACUAGAGUACUGGAGAGGUUGGCGGAAUUCCGAGUGUAGAGGUGAAAUUCGCAGAUAUUCGGAGGAACACCAAUGGCGUAGGCAGCCAACUGGACAGUAACUGACGCUCAUGCACGAAAGCGUGGGGAUCAAACAGG